Molecule: small nucleolar RNA, 86 nt
Organism: Leishmania major strain Friedlin
Lineage: Eukaryota; Euglenozoa; Kinetoplastea; Trypanosomatida; Trypanosomatidae
Source: RefSeq, a predicted model, not a curated record
CCGUCUGAUAGCCGCUGUGUAGUGCCGUAUCGCUUGUGAGUGUCAUCAAUGAAUUGUGGAUAGUGCCGGAAGUGGUAGGCUGAGGC